CAAGAAACGAGGGCCGCGGUGCGCUUCGCCCCGCCCGGGCCCCGCUUCCUUACCUUGCCUACUGCAACCGUUUGUUUGCUUCCUGGCGGCGGACCUGCCCGCCGCCAGGGACGUUGAUACAACCCUGUAUAGAAGCAUUGAAGCUCUGAGAAAACGCGUAAUCGUA
This 166-nucleotide unclassified non-coding RNA is filed under the name soil metagenome. RNAcentral describes it as "partial internal transcribed spacer 1". The record is from RNAcentral.